Molecule: ribosomal RNA, 406 nt
Filed under: uncultured bacterium
Lineage: Bacteria
Description: partial 16S ribosomal RNA
Rfam family: Bacterial small subunit ribosomal RNA
Source: RNAcentral
AUUGAACGCUGGCGGCAGGCUUAACACAUGCAAGUCGAGCGAGCGGCGGACGGGUGAGUAAUGUCUGGGAAAGUGCCUGAGGGAGGGGGAUAACUACUGGAAACGGUAGCUACUACCGCAUACCAUCAGAUGUGCCCAGAUGGGAGUAGCUAGGAGGUGGGGUAAUGGCUCACCUAGGCGACGAUCCCUAGCUGGUCUGAGAGGAUGACCAGCCACACUGGAACUGAGACACGGUCCAGACUCCUACGGGAGGCAGCAGUGGGGAAUAUUGGACAAUGGGCGAAAGCCUGAUACAGCCAUGCCGCGUGUGUGAAGAAGGCCUUCGGGUUGUAAAGCACUUUCAGCGAGGAGGCGUUACUCGCAGAAGAAGCACCGGCUAACUCCGUGCCAGCAGCCGCGGUAAUAC